GCUGGUUUUUUUAUAAGAGUUAUUUUUUUAGGCUAAAGUUCAAUUACAAAUGUGAAGAAAUGUAAUUAAUUGAUGAUUACUUGUGUUCAAGAAAUGCAGUACGUGAACCUGUAAAUAGCUGUGGUGUUUUUUUUUUUAUAAAAUUUGAUAUGUUCAUGGUUAUUUGAACAAUGGCUUGAUAUUGAUCAUUAUUAAUAUCUUUACACCUGCUCUGCAAGAUUUUUGUGAUGCUUAGGGUAGUAAGCAUUGGCAAUUUUAAGUUGUGUGCUUUCUGCUCUUAAAAGUUUUAGAUGGCAAAACGCUUUUGUUAAAAACAAAAAAUUUUAACUCGCUUUGAAGAUAUUUUCUGAAUGUUCCAAGUAAGAAGCAUGUUGUUUGGUGGUUGUCUUUUUUUGGUGCAGUUCAUAUUUGCUUUUUGUUUCUGGUUUGAAGUUAGCAGUUACAUGUAUAGUAUACAUGUAACUGCUAACUUUGACUACACUGUGUCUAACACUUCAUGGAGAGUUGUCUAAUUGUUUUUCCUGCCAUAUUUAAAAAGAUAUUCCCUCUGACAUUUGACUUAUUCAUUAGAAUAAUCUAUAUAAUAAUACAUG
RNAcentral lists this long non-coding RNA (593 nucleotides) under Mytilus galloprovincialis (Mediterranean mussel). Lineage: Eukaryota; Metazoa; Mollusca; Bivalvia; Mytilida; Mytilidae. The record is from RNAcentral.